Molecule: ribosomal RNA, 396 nt
Filed under: uncultured bacterium
Lineage: Bacteria
Description: partial 16S ribosomal RNA
Rfam family: Bacterial small subunit ribosomal RNA
Source: RNAcentral
AAUAUUGCACAAUGGGUGAAACCCUGAUGCAGCGACGCCGCGUGAGCGAAGAAGGCCUUCGUGUCUUAAAGUUCUGUUCUAAGGGAAGAAUCGGACGGUACCUUAGGAGGAAGCAACGGCUAACUACGUGCCAGCAGCCGCGGUAAUGCGUAGGGUGCGAUCGUUAUCCGGAAUUAUUGGGCGUAAAGGGUGCGUAGGCGGCCUUUUAAGUGAGAUGUGAAAGGCUACGGCUUAACCGUAGUUAGCAUUUGAAACUAAAAGGCUUGAGUGCAGGAGAGGAGAGUGGAAUUCCUAGUGUAGCGGUGAAAUGCGUAGAUAUUAGGAGGAACACCAGUGGCGAAGGCGACUCUCUGGACUGCAACUGACGCUGAGGCACGAAAGCGUGGGGAGCGAACA